RNAcentral lists this ribosomal RNA (373 nucleotides) under uncultured organism. RNAcentral describes it as "partial 16S ribosomal RNA". It matches the Rfam family "Bacterial small subunit ribosomal RNA", at positions 527 to 896 of the family's 1533-position model. The record is from RNAcentral.
GUAGGUGGCAAGCGUUAUCCGGAAUUACUGGGCGUAAAGAGUACGUAGGCGGUUCGGUAAGUCUGUCGUGAAAUCUCUUGGCUUAACUGGGAGCGGUCGAUGGAAACUGCCGGACUUGAGGAGCGUAGAAGUGAGCGGAAUUCUCGGUGUAGCGGUGAUAUGCGUAGAUAUCGAGAGGAACACCAGUGGCGAAAGCGGCUCACUAGGCGCCACCUGACGCUGAGGUACGAAAGCGUGGGGAGCGAACCGGGAUUAGAUACCCGGGUAGUCCACGCCGUAAACGAUGGAUGCUAGACGUGGGGGGGUAAUCGACCCCUUCUGUGUCGCAGCUAACGCAUUAAGCAUCCCGCCUGGGGCCUACGCCGCAAGGCUA